AGCAGCCGCGGUAAUUCCAGCUCCAAUAGCGUAUAUUAAAGUUGUUGCAGUUAAAAGCUCGUAGUUGAAUUUCGGGAUCAAUAUAUCGGUCGUGCCUUGGUACGUACUGGUAUCAUUGGUUUCUCCUUUCUGACGAACCAUGAUGUCAUUAAUUUGGUGUUAUGGGAAGUUAGGACUGUUACUUUGAAAAAUUGGAGUGUUUAAAGCAGGCUUUGGCUUGAAUACAUUAGCAUGGAAUAAUGAAAUAGGACGUUCGAACCUAUUUUGUUGGUUUCUAGGAUCAACGUAAUGAUUAAUAGGGAUAGUUGGGGCAUUAGUAUUCAAUUGUCAGAGGUGAAAUUCUUGGAUUUAUUGAAGACUAACUACUGCGAAAGCAUUUGCCAAGGAUGUUUUCAUUAAUCAAGAACGAAAGUUAGGGAUCGAAGACGAUCAGAUACCGUCGUAGUCUUAACCAUAAACUAUGCCGACUAGGGAUCGGAUGAUGUUAAUUUUUUAAUGACUCAUUCGGCGCCUUACGGGA
RNAcentral lists this unclassified non-coding RNA (520 nucleotides) under uncultured Glomus. RNAcentral's name for it is "SSU rRNA". It matches the Rfam family "Eukaryotic small subunit ribosomal RNA", at positions 569 to 1095 of the family's 1831-position model. Lineage: Eukaryota; Fungi; Glomeromycota; Glomeromycetes; Glomerales; Glomeraceae. The record is from RNAcentral.